RNAcentral lists this ribosomal RNA (220 nucleotides) under uncultured bacterium. RNAcentral's name for it is "partial 16S ribosomal RNA". It matches the Rfam family "Bacterial small subunit ribosomal RNA", at positions 15 to 235 of the family's 1533-position model. The record is from RNAcentral.
GAUCCUGGCUCAGGAUGAACGCUGACAGAAUGCUUAACACAUGCAAGUCUUUGGCGAAGCUGUGCUUGCACAGCCUAGCCAAGGCGGACGGGUGAGUAACGCGUAAGGAACUUGCCCUGCAGUCAGGGAUAACAGACGGAAACGACUGAUAAGACCUGGUAAAGUCAGGCGGACUCAUGUCCAGCCUGAUGAAAAGAGAUGCUGCAGGAGAGCCUUGCCG